RNAcentral lists this non-coding RNA (24 nucleotides) under Arabidopsis thaliana (thale cress). Lineage: Eukaryota; Viridiplantae; Streptophyta; Magnoliopsida; Brassicales; Brassicaceae. The record is from RNAcentral.
AACUCGUAUUGAGGAAACGACGUC